Molecule: ribosomal RNA, 305 nt
Filed under: uncultured bacterium
Lineage: Bacteria
Description: bacterial SSU rRNA
Rfam family: Bacterial small subunit ribosomal RNA
Source: RNAcentral
GACGUCCUACGGGGGGCAGCAGUGAGGAAUAUUGGUCAAUGGCCGAGAGGCUGAACCAGCCAAGUCGCGUGAGGGAUGACGGCCCUACGGGUUGUAAACCUCUUUUGCCGGGGAGCAAAGAGCGGGACGCGUCCCGCCUCGAGAGUACCCGGAGAAACAGCAUCGGCUCACUCCGUGCCAGCAGCCGCGGUAAUACGGAGGAUGCGAGCGUUAUCCGGAUUUAUUGGGUUUAAAGGGUGCGCAGGCGGAAGCGCAAGUCAGCGGUAAGAUUGAUAGGCUCAACCUCUUCCCGCCGUUGAACCUGC